This is a long non-coding RNA of Bacillus rossius redtenbacheri, 12953 nucleotides long. RefSeq lists it as uncharacterized. The transcript is spliced from 2 exons. Lineage: Eukaryota; Metazoa; Arthropoda; Insecta; Phasmatodea; Bacillidae. The record is from RefSeq and is a predicted model, not a curated record.
CCCCCCCCCCCCCAAAAAAAAAAAAAUGCAGAAUUAUGGUAUUUAUUAAGUUCAAGAUAUAAAACACCUCAACUGGCACCAAGGAUCAAAUUCUGGGAUACCCAGCAACACUGAUGCGAAGGGCUGGCCAUUGUUUUGAUCAGGGGCGGACUUAUGCUUUUCUUCGCCCGAAGCAGAAAUUAAAAAUUGUGAUAAGUGCCUCCACCAACAGCAAUUAAAAGAGCCAUGCAUAAUUAGGUAUAUUUCGAAGAUAGACUACAUAUUGUAGCCGUUACCAUACUGCGACUUCCGGAAAAUUUUUACAUAGUUUUUCGUUUCAUGGUCUAUAGACCCCAAAACCAUCGCCAACUGAAAACUUUAUAUGCAUGUGUAUCACAUUUUUAUGGACACGAUAACUCCCGUAAUUUUGCACAAAACACUUUAAAACUGAUACAUGAAAUUAACGUUCGAGUUCAUUAAUGGGCAAAACCUGACAAAAGGGGUAGAAAUGGGGACGGUUUUUUUAAAAACAUAAAAAUCACUCUUACUCCCAUAAUACAAAGAAUAUCGCUUCCGUUUGAACGUAUUAUCUUGUAGAAGUAAUAGCAAACUCAGUAAUUCAGGUCAAAUUUAGUCUAUUAUAGUGACAUGAAAAUGUAAGUUCUUAAAUAUAAAUGUUUUAAUAAUCUGCAGAGAAACAUUUUCGGAUGAUUGUAGCACACCCCAGAAAAUAAAACAUCAUUUAAUUUUUACUAAAGUAGCUUUUUAUUUUAACUGUAACACUGACUUUAAGGUGAACGAUUAAGCACUGACAUAAUGUAUUAAUAUUCUUACUUUAUUAAGAGGCACUUCAUUGUACAACCUCUCUACUUAACUGUGACUUACAUAACUUUUCAAUUUCACAGGAAAAGUGUGAGAUUAAAUAAAACAAAAAUAUUUAUUUGUAUUUUAACCAGCGUUAUAUUCUGAAACAUACACAUACAUUUAGAUCUAGCCAUAUUCUUCAAACGACUACAAAAAUAUUGGUGCAUAUCAUGUUGUUUGAUGCUGAAGCAAGUAAUUGACAGUAGUUCAACAGGAAUCAAUGUUCAAAAUUCUGGUCACUAUGCCUACAUUUCAAAUUCGUGAUUACUCUGUGCAGCAAAACAGUGGUCAUCAAGUUUAAAACACACUACUCAUUUUGUUCCUACUCUAAAGAGUGUGUUUUUUUCCUCCAUAAAUUUCAAAGGAAACCAUGAUUCACAAAAUAUUCUACAAAUACUAUGCUCCAUAAUAGAAAUAAACAAUGUCAGUCCUGAGUCAGGUGGUUCACCUGGCCCAUUUCACUUUGGAAAAGGUUGUGAUUAACUCUGAUGGAAGAUAAAAUUUAGCAAGACUUAUUUUGUAGGAAUAUGCACGACAAAAUACCAAUUAUAGCCUGAUUAUGCCUCAUGUCACAAGAAUUUUUUUUCCAAGUUGUCUAUAUUUAAUGCUGGUUUGCGCACGUUUUACUGAAGUAUGUCUUUCGUUCAAAAAACUUGAUGCGUGUCUCAUGUUUUUUUAAUAACAUUAACAUACGUGUAUUUAAGACUUAAUUUAAUGAAAUCAUCACAAUAAUUGAACUAAGAACCAUUUUUUAAAUACAAUUAAAUAAAAACCAAAAUGUAAAAUGUUCAGUUUUCAUUUCUCAAGCAAAUCAUAACUUAAAUUUCUGUGUGUAAAUAUGCUGGAGUUCAAAAAGACUGAUAUUCCCUGAGAUUUAUAGUAAGACAAUCAAUUUUAUUUUAAAAAAAAUUAUAAUGAAAACUCACUCAUAAAAACAAAUAUAGUAUAAUGGUUAUUCAGGACCUCCUCACACACAUCGUCCUGGCUACGGCCCCUGCGUUGAGGAGGGGGGGGGGGGGCGCCUAGUGACAGAGGUACAGUGUGUGGCAACCGCUCUACUGUUUGUCAAGAUCCAUUACCGUCACGGCGACACGUGGCAACGACCUUGGUGAAAUUUUAGGAGGGAAAAGGGGGGGGGGGGGGGGGUACCGGGGACUGGCGAAGGGCAGCGAUGGUGUUGUCAGAUGCCAGACCAUCAGCCUCCGCCAACAACACCUGGACCUGUUUGUAGCCCCGUGUUCCCAACCGUGUUUCCUGACAAGUGAAGACAAGACAAAGCACGUUUUGACAUUACAAGUCACGGAUGUUAGCAAAGGUAAAUCCGCCGUGGUCUACCGUAAGAACUGGAGGCUGUUUGGAAAUCCAAAAUCAAGAUGGACGAAUGGACAGAGAUUCAAACCCCGGGUCCUCCCAAACGCAAGUACAACUUUCAAAUGUUGUGCCCCCUCGCUAGGUGCCUUCGCAAGUGGAGAACCACACACACGAGCACUGAGCACUGUCUCGCAGUAUCCUGGUGAUCCCGCCUUUUAAAGGAACAAUUGUUUUCACUCUACUGAAAAAAAUUAAGAAAAUUAAACAAAAUAGACUUGCUCAGUGCUAAAGCCAGGAUUUCGUGAAGGCGGGGUCCAGUAUAACCAUUAUAUAUCUUUUUUAUGAUCAAAUUUUCUUUAUAGUUGCAUUAAAAUAAAUAUGUAUUGCCACACUAAAAUCUAAAGGAAAAGAAGACUUUUAGAACUCAAACAAUACACAUAGAAAUUUAAGUAAUGAAAUUGCGUGAUAACAAAAACUGAUAUAAUGGUUUUUAUUUAAUUGUCUUUCAUACAUGGUGCUUGAGUCAUUUAUUUGGUGAUUUCGCUAAAACAAGUCAAAAGUAUAUAUGCAAAGCAGCAUUGAAUAUCAACUACUUGGAAACACAAUUCCUGUUGCUUCUAUGUGCGAGGCAUAUCGGGCUAUAUAUGUUAUUGCAGCCCACUAAGGAUUAUGUGAUUUCUUCCAAAAUAAUCCCAAUAAACUUAUGUAGCUAAGUUGCUUUAAUUUUCUCAUUCUGUACUUGCUUCUGUUUCUUUUAAAUAGCAGGAGGGAGGGGGGGGGGGGGGAACCGCUGACUACGACUCUGCUGUCUUUACAAACCCUCUCGAAGACACCAAUGCUUAACCUUUUCAGAGUUAGUCGACAAAAGUACGUGCUGUUAUCGUUGAUAAGCACUUUGCAAAUACCUACUUACAGUGAUUCUUCUCAAAGAAAACCGUUUCCAAGCAUAGUGCGACGCAGUUCAAACAUAAACGGGCACUCUAAUAUCAUUAUCAUCACAAACAUUUGAUAAUAUUGUGGUCAAGAGGCAUAAAAAUACACAACUCGUCCAGUAACUACAGAUAUGGCCAUGGGCGUUUGUGAUAAAAAAUUGAUUUCCUAUCUAAGCAGGAAAAAAAGUGUCUUGGAAACAUGACGAUGUUAAAAGAAAAACUAAAGAUGUAGACUCUGCUGAUGCUGUGAGCAGCGUGCAAGGAACUAGUAAGUUUCUAGGUUUAACGCACUGCUAAGGACGUGCAUGCGUAUGAAAAUACGAGUAUGUACGUUGUUUCAGCUUUCAUGUUUUGUAUAUGAUCACUCAUGAUGAUAACUUUUUUUUUAAAGUGCCAUGGGAACAGAAUUACUUUUUUACUGAAGACCUCAAAAGUGCAGGCGAUGAUAAUUCCGGCCUAGGAGGAAAUGUCGUCACAGGUUUAGCAUUUCGGUAUUUACAUGCGACACAUUCUAUACUCCUGUUGUUUGGCUAGCCCUGAGAAUUUUAGUUCGGUUUUAAAAAGGGGAAAAUUUUUAGUUUUUCCCUAAAAUGAAUACUUUUCAAAUAUUUAUCACACUCUGCAUUAUUAUAAAGAAUUCUGUUUAAAAUUUUGUGUCCUAGUUUCUUAUUAUAAGUUUAUUUGCAACCGAAAACAUAUGAAUUUACUCAUUACUCAGAUCUUUUUAUCAGGACUGACACUGUUAUCAGAGAAUAAUUAAAUGCAAAAACAAAAAAAUUAACCUUAUAAAAUAAUCUUGGUGCACAUAUCAAAAAGUCAACAGAACUGUGUGAACCUUCCGGACAAAAAUGUUGAUAAGAAAAGUACAGCCUGUAAUCUGUAUACAAAACUGAUACCAAUUACAAUUUUAUUAGUUGACAUAGUUCUUAAAUGAAAAAAAAAAAUCAAAACUUGAACUAAGUAAGAGUUAAUUUAAUUUUCAAAGUAAUUAUAAAUUAUAAUAAUUAUUAUGAAUAAUCUCUAAGCAAAAAAAAACAAACUGUAAAAUGCUUCUCUAUUAUUUGUAUAAUAUACAAAGUAAAAUGUAUAGCACUUAUGUAAGAACAAUCCCAUUCACUAUAGAAUACAAAAAAAAGUUAUUCCUUUUACUGCCAAUCACAACAUGCAACAACUUGACAUAAACACAACUAACAUCUUAAGUCAUAGAAUGAUUCAGUUAGCAUCGGAAAAACCACAAAGUGUGAGGCAUACAUUUCAGUCACAUUAGAAGUUUUGGCAACAGUCACCGUAAAUAAAAAUAACACAGGCCAACAAGAAAAAAUUUUGUUUUGGUGCCCAGGAUUUUCGAACUGAUUUUAGCUAUAUUUGGGGUGCUGAAUCUAAAUAUGAAAUUAGUUUUUUUCCCCCUAUCAACUCUACUUUUUGAGAAAGUUAGAAAAAAUAAGUAAAACCGCCUGCUUGACUCAAGCCACUUCGUCACUGGGAUAGCCCAGGAUGGGAAUCCCAUCCUUCAUUUGAAUGCUUCAAACUAGAUUUGAGGUCAGUUUGUGAGUUUUAGCCAUCCAGGAUAGAUAGAAGAUGAUAAAAAAUGAGUUCCAGUAGAGAAGAAGUUGUGUAAAUCAUCCUGAUGUGUUUUGCUACAUAUGUGGAGAAUACACAUUAAAAGAUAACACCUUACCUUGUAAACAGAGCUUCUCAUGAUACUAUGGUGUUAAGCUCGGUGAUCAGGAUAAAUCCUGGGCACCAAAUAAUAUCCUUGUUUCUUAUGCCUCUGCAAUAGCAGAUAUAAAACACACCACUGGUUCAGGGCACUAAAUUCACGAAGUCAGCUCCAUAUACCCCGGCAUGAAAAAUAUUGUUGGUUUAAAAAAAAAGUCAAAACUCUCCCCUCUGUUACAUGAAGGUUACACUGGCUCAAGAAAACAUGUUCACAAGAUUACAUGAGAAUAGAAACUAACAAGGUAAACUUAACUCCAUAAAUAAUUUGUUAAAUUAUGUAUUCUACUUAUCAUAGUGCAAAAGUAUGUUUUUUGUAAAUAGUAUAUUACUGUCACCUGCCUCCUGUUUUUUUUGCAGCCACUGCACUGCUACAGAUCACGCGCUUGCAAUAUAUCUUCUCUAUAUGUUGUAAUUUAAGAACACAAAUUUACAGAGAAUUAGAUAAUAGCCUAAAAGGCAUGUCAUUUGUUACUACUUCCACAGCAUGUUCAGCUACAUGUUAACAGAACUUGAAUGGAAUAUACGUUCCGACCAAAUGCAACCAAACCCACAGAUACAGAUAUGCUCAGGUCAAAGAAUCAUCGUUCAACUACGAUGCGACCACGAUUCACAAGCCUAGAGGUAAUAUUCGCCGACUGCUCCCGACAGCUACGUCGUCACGUGUCACUGGCCUGCAGCAGCGGAGGCAGCAUGUCGAGGUUCGCUCAGGAAGAUAUCCCCGACCUGAGACCUCGCCACGUGCACCAACAAACCUACUAAAUACCAGUUUGGCGGAACUUGACUAUUUCGCAAAACAGGUUUUUAAUGACCUAAUAUUGUUACGAGCGCCCUGGGAAGUAAGGCCGUGAUGCGUGUGGGCCUGAGUGGGUCUUCCAGCGUUCAUUCUGGCCCGGUGACCCCGCAUGGCCACAGACGUCACCCGCGCAUACCUUCUGGCAAUAAGGGUGGCCUGGCUUCGCCACCGGCCCCCCCCCCCCCCCCCUGCCUUGCCAAUGCUCCUUCCUCCAACCCUUAGGGGCCUGGGAAUUCCACGGGCUUUCGGAGGCCACUGCGUGGAUUGACGUGACUCCGCCCCUGUUCUGGAUGCUUCGAGCAUCGGGUCGGCCCGGGAUGACGCGACACAUCACCGCGGGAGUUCCGAAAGCAAAAUGAAGUGAAGUACGAGUACAGCGAAGAGGGCGAGAUGGACAACCCCCCGCCCCUCCUCCCUCGCGAUCGGUACAGGACGCGGAGCGACCGGACCGUGGGUGUGUGACAGAGUGGCGCGUGACUGUGCGUGCGGACUGGUGAGAGGUAAGGGGCGUACCACCGUUGAGUCUUAUCUUCCGUGAGGAGUGCGAACUGCGGACUAGACAGAUACUUGGUGAUUUGUGAACAGGCAUUAAGUGUGGUGAUUUAAUUAGUGAUGUAAAUAUUAGUGGCAAAUAAAACUAUAUAAAAUUAAUUGGGCUUUCCUUACAAACUCAUUUUUCCCCUCAACAUUUUUUUUGUAACAAUAUUUAUGCAUGUUCAAAUUGUUGGCCAAGUUAACGUGUGUAUUAACACAUUCUUUAUAUUUUUCUUCAUGUUUUAGUUUUUUUUUUUUCAGUACUUAUGUAAGGUAUUUUGUUUCUAGAACAUUAGAUAAACUUUCUGAUAAAAAUUUUAUUGAGAGAACAUACGGCAGGUGUUCCUAAAAGUGUGGGAAAUCUGGAGUAUAAGGUUUCUCACUAGAUUAUUUCUACAGAUAAUUCUAAUUCACUAUGAAUUUUCGGAAAGUCCAUUACUAAGAAAUCGUGGGCAAUCUUUAUAUAUUGAAAACUGUGUAGCGAUUGGCUGAGAGAACAUUGUAAGUGUUAACAGUGGCACGAUUGGCUGUAAGAUAAGGUUGAUGUGAGCAUUCCAAUUCUCAAGGAGAAGGAAAGCAGACAUAAGCUGUUAACAGGAAGAAUGUGUCGCACGGUAGCUCACCGAAUUUGUCAUGCUGAUGCAGCGAAGGACAAUUUAACGCCUGUUGAAUCGGGUAAGGCCACAGUCAACAUCUUCCCAUCAAUAAGUAAAGACAAGAUUUUAUGGUCUUAUUAUCAGGCCAAUUUCGUUUUUAAAAUUGGAGACUUUCGGUGUUCUCGUUUUUUAUUUUUUAUGAAAUAUGUUUAUUAAAUUACAUACCAAAUUACUGAACAAAUUUGAUACUUAAAUGUUCCACGAUACCAAUUUCUUCAAAACAGUGGCCUUUUUACCGACACAUGACACACUUUUUCAAUAUAACAAUUUGUAAUAAACAAGUCUAAUUUUUGGGAACAAAUAAACUAAAUCUGCUAACUAUUUCUGCAUUUGAAAUAUGUUCUAAGAUUGUAAUGUAAAAACAAGUAUGUAAUUAAUAACAUAUGCAAGUUUAAAAAUAAAAACAUUUUCCAAUUUUUUUAAAUUAAAUGAUUAUACAAAUGUCAUGCUAAAUAAAUUAUUUCAUUCCAUUUAUUAUUUUAAAGAUUAGGUAUUUGUCGUCAAGAGUUAAGUUUUGACCAAAAAUGCUGAUUUCUUUCGUUGUUUUAGUUGCAUUUUGGUGCUUUGUGGUGUAUGAACUGGAAUUUUGGUGUUAUAUGGUGUAUCGAAAUGCUUUUCGAUGUUUUUUUUCCCUCCAUUGUAUCAUGAUUCACCACAUAUUCAUGUACCUAUCAGACUAGAGGCAUCUGUCUUUGGCUCAGCGGGACUUUGGAGUUUCCCGUGCAGCAAUCACCCCUCCAGGAACCCAACGCCCCGGUCGUGAUGAAACUAGGGACUCCAUUACUUAACUUAAUUUUUCUUCAGUCUUCAUAAUUACUUAUACUGUUUUUGGUGUUGACGGACGGAAAAUGUUUUGAAACUCAUUUUCACAAUGUUUUUGUGGAGGAAUUUCCAGCACUUUGUAUGGAUGUGGGAUUGUUUUAAUAGUAGUAGUAGUAAUAGUAGUAGUAGUAGUAAUUUUAUAGACACACUUCAUAACUUGUUUUCUUCAGUCAACAACUCAUCCUAAAUUUGUGUGCAAAAAAAUAAAACUGAAUUUGAAAAUUCUUAUCUCCUGUUACAAUGACAGUAUUAAAGGGAAAUUGUAAUUUAAUUACAUUGGGUUGUCUUCUAGCUGAGCAGAUCUGACUUUUUACGUGGCUUUAUAUAAACUCUACCUCAAUAUUAGUACAGAACCAUCAACCUGAAAUAUUUCGAGUGAAUUUCUGAACAACCCCUGCAUAUACUAUGCACACAAUCAAGGAAUAGUAAUUGCAGUUGAAAUCUUUAGCUGAUACCAUUGUGCUCCAGUGCCUGGUUAAAAUUUACAGGUUGAACAACUGAUACAACAGAUUAACAGAGAACUGUCAACAUGCUCAAUCUUUUAGGAACUGACUCUUAUCAGCUACAGAUAGUAUCUGUUGCCAAUAUCUGAUAAAGCUGGUACUUUUAGUGGCUGUUACUUACUACGCUCUAGUCUCGCAAAAUAUCUGGCAAUGAACAAGAUUUAAAUGAGUCACAGAAAACUGUAGCUCUGAUCAUAAUGACUAACCUUCGAUAAGUUUAACAAAAAAACAUGUAUAAUAUUUCUGCUCAUGGUAUGACAAAAGCGAGUGAUAAUAAACAUAAAAUUAUUUGCAUCAAUGCCAGUUGACACACAAAAAAUUACAAAACAAAACUAUUAUGGAAACAAUUAGAAAAAAAAACAUGCACUCACGUAACAAAAUAUUACAGAUGAUUUUGAUUUGUAUUGAAUUUGAAUGAAAAAAAAGUACUAUUUACUAGCGCUUAAACCUUUUCCUGGAUACCAUAAAAAAACAAAUAACAAAACAUGCACGUAGAUUUGAGCAGAUGCUUGAAUUUAGUGACGUUAUUACACAACUGACAAAAAGCAAAACCUGUGCACCUUGAAUAAUGCACGUAGUGUCUUCAUCACAAAGAUAAAAUAAAAGGAGAUGAGAUUCUUAAGGUUAAAGUGUAAUCAGAACAAAUUGAGUAUCAACUCUGGGCUCAUAAAAUGAGUCUUGAUGGAGAUUAGUAUAGUCACUCAGAGAUUCACCACACCUUGUGAAGACAGAAGUACUUUCAAGACAAAAUGAUUAAAGAAGUGGUCAUAAUUUUAUAAAUUGCAUCCAGUUGUCAAAAGCAAAAAAUACGUGAUGACAUAAUAUGAAGGAAAUUAUGUCUAGGAGAAUGGUCGUUUUGAUAUACGUGAAAAUGUAUGCCAGACACAUGUUUACAUGUACACAAAUUCGCAGGUCUUAUACUAUUCAAAAAGUGUUCAGCCAUAAUUCGUUGUUCAUAAAUUAUUUCUUUUAACUGUCUGCUUGCUAUAAAACUGUAAGCUAGCCACAGCCGCCGAUAUACUGAAGUACAUUGUUAGUUACCCAUAAACUACAACUGCAACAUUUAGCUUCACACUACUCUGGGAAUGCUGUGCAAACAGAUUACGUAGAUAUCCAAGUACACAAACACGAAUUGCUAAAUACGUAACAGUAGAUAAUCAUUAUUCAUGAACAGUAUUUGCGGGAACACACAGACAACUCUCUGUGCCGGAGAACAACAGCUGACCUAGUGUCCUGAUACGAGCAACUAAUUUCUGAGAACCUCUGACAACAUUAAAAGAAAACUCAUCUUUCCAACCAAUGCCAAACAAAUAAAACUAAAAAUUUCAUCCUCUCCAUAAAAACAGUUGCAUAAUAUUUUCUCAAUUUUUUUACACUGCAUAUUAGUCAAAUGGAAUACACAAAAAAAAAAAAACUUUGCAUUUUCAUAUUCUAUGACAUAUGUGUACCCUUCCUCGGUUUAGCAAGGCAACCAAUCAGCAAUCAGCCGGUUUUCACUAACAAAGAAAAAAGUUUUUUUUUUCUUUGAAAGCUACUCAAGCUAAAUAAAGUCCCACAUAUUGUGACUUUGGCAAUGAUGUACAGGAUCUUGGGUACAAAAGUACCUAUUUUAAACUAGUUCAUGUGCAGUAACCAUUUUGGAAAGAUGAGAACACUAACAAGACCCAGGAAGACUAUGUAUACUGUUUCCAUUUGUAUUCCCUUACAUUUAUUCUUUGGUCCAUUUACAAAACAAGUCUUACUCUUACACAGUAGCAAAAAAAAACUAAAACUAAAAAGAAAUCUAAAAUAUUUAUACAAGAGGUAACUACAAAACCUGAAUAAAUAAUCUUACUUAUAGUGUUACACACUGACAUACUAAAUCAUUUUAGAACAUAUGCUUUGAUAGUAUCUGCUAUCAUACAGAUAAAUAUUAACUGAUCAUGGUAGCAAACAUGCCUUUACAUUCACAUAUCUACAUUUAGAUGUCUCAGUGUGCUAACACAACAGCCAUUGCAAACAGCACCUAUAUUGUACUACAUGUAUUUUCCAUUAAUUUUUUUUAUAAAGCAUUACGUGCUCAGCUACCAAGUAUAAAUAACUAGUACUACAAUCAAGAAACACAAAAACUGAACAUUCACAGCCGCUAACAUUUCAUUGCAGAGCAGAUCCGAGGAGAUAUUGGAUCAAUACUGCCUUAGGAUUCAAUGCGUUUGGCCUGUACACUGUCUCUACACUACAUGGCCAAAUUUAUAAUCCAUUUACUUACUCUCACAUGUUCAAAACAGCCAACACACUUUCUUGUAAUGUUUUAACAGCUACCGUGUUGGCCACAUCUGGUCAAAGUUGUUCAAGUGAAUUCAUUUAGUUGACAAUGUAAACCUACACCUGCAAAGGCUGGAGUUUGAAUUUUUUUUUUUUGUUAAUGUGAUGAACAUUCAAUGCAAAAAGGUUAUGCCUAUUUUUUUUUACUCACUGCUGUGUAUACAAAAACUGUAUCUUAAAUCUGAGUCUUACAACACUCAAACAAUACAAUUAACCCUUCACAAUCUGAAUUUAUAUUUUAAUGCACAACUUCUAGCCCGGGCCAUGCAAAAAUCCCAUCUAGACAUCAAUGUUUGGGGGACAAGUUUUCAGAAAAGCAUAAUUUAUAAGAAUGUCAUCAGUACAUUUUACACAUCAAAUAUUAUAAACUGUAAUUCCCAUAUAACAUCAGUGCCUUAAAAUAAAAAUAAAAUUUUUUUUGAAUUGGUAUUGAAUUACAUUAUAGAAAGUGGGCAGAAAAGAAAAAAGAAAAUUCAGAAUAGUAAAUAAAAUUAAUAUUUCACGUUCGUUAAACAGGCUGUCUCGAAUCUUAAAUAUAGUUUUAAUUUAGAUAGUUUAUAUAAUUUCAAUGGAUUGUUUCAAUCAUCAAACAUUGUAUAAUAUUUGAAAAAUUUUAAGAAAAAUGUUUGAGAAAGCAUUUAUAGUAGAAAUCAAACCAACAGAUAAAAGAAGAAGAAAAUUUAUGAAAUUCUAUUCUUUUAUAACACAGUAAAAGUUGCACAUGCAAUUAAAAAAACCUGCAACAUAAAUUAUUUAAAUUGAUCAAAAUCAAUUCUGAAAAUAUUUCCAUUAAGAUGUUUUCAAAAACUGUGAGUAAUACAUAUCUAGCAAAGAUUAAUUACACUGUUGGCCAAAAAAAAAUUAAUCAAAAGGUAAAAAAAAAUUCUGAUAGUUGGCAAACCAUAUAUUAAAAUAGGUUAAUCAAGAAAAACCAUAAAUUUUGGCAGCUAUAACCAAAAGAUUAUAAAACAGACUCAACCAAGGCACAAUGGACACGCUCAUUUGUCUUCAUAAUGAAAAUAAAUUGGAAUGAAAUAGAAUAUAAACAUUGGUUCACCCAAGCCAUAAUACUGCCUCCUUGUUUAAUUUUUACAAGCAUAUUUCCCAUAAGUGAUCUUUCAGUACACAAACUUGAAAAGACAAUUGCAAAAUAACAUGUAAAUGCAUUGAAAUAUCAAAACAAAUGUUGGGCAAGUUCACUAUAUUCAUUGCAAGAUAAUGAACUCACUGAAACAUGGCUUUCAGAUCCAUCAAUGAUUCAGUUAGUUUACAUUUAUAUCCAGCAACGGAGACUACACAGCAUGGCUACUAUCACUAGGGACAAGAUUUUAUGGUGAAUUGUGAUAAAACUAACAAAAGUACCAACGGAAAGCAUGUCAAUGUGUAUUUAGUACAUAUGUAUUUUGCACUAAAACAAAUCAAUCAAAUAGCUAAGGAAAAAAUUAACUUAAUUUUUUUACAUCUUGCACUUAUUGUUAACUUAUAUAUUACUGACUGGUACAUUUUCCAAAAUUGCCUAAAUAUUUUUAAGGAUUCGAGAGAAUCUGCCUGGAAAUGCUUUUUUACAAAUUAUUUUACUGUAAUAAAAAGAAACAUUUUCACAGUGAAAAUUAUACUAUUUUAAUUAAAUAAUUAUUAAGAAACAUUUAAAUGUCUUACUUGUUGAAUAAUACAGUAUCUUUAUGAAUAAAAAUAAUUCAUAAAAUUAAAAACCAACAACAUCCAAAUCUCCCAUUUCAAAAACAAAAAAAAAUUAUCUUAAAAUAAUACCAUAAAAUCUUGUCUCUACAUGUUGCAAGACAUUGUGUCUUUUCAUAAUUUAACAACAAUAAUUAUCAUCUUAUACACAGUCACCUACAAACUUCUACUUGUUAUUGUACAAAUCUCAUAAAAGUGCAUGGUCUGGAGUUUCCUUAAGUUGCUACAAAGUUAUAAACAUAACCACAAUUUACACAUUUGUUCGGGUAACCAGGUCAAAGAGCAUGACAAGCUAAUUAACAACUUCCCCAACAUAUUAACUUUAAAACUUUAAUUGUUUCUUUAUAUUAUUGCUACCCCACUUAACACAACAUGAAGGGCUAAUAGCUUUAACAGUCUACUGCUAUUACAAAUAAUUAAAAUAAUAUACAUAAUAAAUUAUUCAAAGCACCAAAUUUAACCUUGGAAACAGGCAUUACUUGUCUAGUAUCGUGGACACAGAUGCUAGUUUUUCACAGACUGUACGUACUUCUCGACAGAAAACAAAUUUAUGUACAAUAUCAAUGUUAAAAUGCUCCUCCCUGGAGAUUUUUUUCCCCUCCAACUGUGCAAGUGAAGUUGGGUGAAUAACGUUAUUAAUGCAUAGCAAACCUAAUCGCUCUAGGAGGUACCCUCACAGAGAAACAAAAGCCUCUCAAGUCAAGGUCUGUUAUCAAUGCACAAGAAACCUGGCACUGUUAAAAUUUUCACUUCUGUUCCCUCCCCCGCUCUCCACCCCUAAGCAUCGAUAUAAUAACACGAAGCAUCUCGCAACUUAUCUUUGUUGCAGUCCCAAAAA